AAUCAACACGCUGAUGAGAAUCUUUUCUUUCAGGGUACGUAUAACGUUGAGACAUGGGAAGGUAGUUUCCACGGUGAUUCCCAAUCGCGGAUGCAAGACGUCGCGACGACAAGGACAACGAUAACCACGACGACAUCCUGUCCCUUGAAUUGAAAGGACGGAGUAUUCGGUGAAGGUCUUAUUAUUAAUUGUUCGAGUUCCUGCUCAAACACUGGAGAUUAAAUCCGGGAGGAACUAAUCCGGCACGUAGUGCCUCUUUAUUCCGUCUGUCCCACGUAGAGAGAAGCCUCUCACAAACACACACACACACACAACUCGCCUCUAUAGAUGUUUGUUACGUCCAAGGCUUCACCGCGAGAAUGUUAAUCGAGGCCAAUGAAGGAUAAGCAUAAUGAGAAUAGGAUCGUUAAUCGAAAUCAAGCGUCGAAGAUAACCUCAAAUUUACCAAAACGAUAACAACCAACGUACCAGCGUUGCCAACGUAAAGAAGCGAAAAAGCGUUUUGAGGUUCGUAGGGAAUAAAAAUCCCGCCCUGGAUCUAAAAUCAAGAUUGGAGCGGAUCGCAGCCUUGGAUGCUGUCCACUUAGAUAAGGAUAGCCCCUGGAGAAGGAAGGAAUCGAAACAAGGGGGUUCACCGACAGCAGCAGGCCAGUUAUUCGCGCGCCAGAAGGUAGCUCUCGAAAAUUUACUUUGAGAUUGGAAAGAGGGAGAAGAUUGAAACUGGUUGAAACGAGACGGAGGAAUCGGCGAAGAACAGGAAAGAGGAGAAAGGUUGGAUAUCGGAGGAGAGAUGAGAGUUGGCCGAUGGAAUCGGCGGCUUCGAGAGCCAGAUGCAGGAUCCGCAGACGGAACGGAAGGAAGCAUUUUUUUAUUAUGUUUGUUGCCGCCCUGAAGCCAGUGUAGAAGAAGAGAUAUCACGUUUUUCGAACGUGAGAAGGUCGUUUCUCGUGGGCGCAAAAAUUGUUGAUCAAAAAUUGAAAAUCGUUAAAUGUGUCUCCUGUAAAGAAUUUUCCUAAAAGGAUAUGAAAAAAGUUUUUCUUCCAAUGAAAU
Molecule: long non-coding RNA, 1050 nt
Organism: Apis mellifera (honey bee)
Lineage: Eukaryota; Metazoa; Arthropoda; Insecta; Hymenoptera; Apidae
Exons: 4
Source: RefSeq, a predicted model, not a curated record